AUGAUGAUGGGUUUCCAGAACAAAUUCUACAACGCCAGCAAGAAGGAGCCAGGACAGAGCUCUAAACCAGGCUCGGGGGAAUAUCGUAUCAACAUGUCCAGUGACACACCCCACUGGUAUAUCAGAGACUACCUGGCCAGAGUCAGCGGCCACUAUGACAUCAGUGGCAUUGAGGUUGAUGAUCUGGACGAGUGUAAGGCCAAGGAGGCGUUGUGUGUCUCUCCAGCCCUGUGUGCCAACACCUACGGAGGCUACAGGUGUGUCUGCAACGGCACUGAUCUGGAUGAAACCCAGUCCUGUGUAUUAGGUGAGGAUCUAAAAUACCAUAACAUUCAUCCCGUCCUUUCUCACUUGCUGAUACAAUAUGUGAGUUUGCCACAGUUUGCCAUGGCUAUGACUUACAUUAACAUUGACUGGCCUGUUCCAGGGCGAGGCAAGGGGGGCGAUGUGGAGCUGGACCUUGUUCUGGGCCUGGUUCUGGGCAUCGGCAUCCCUCUGCUCCUGCUGCUCCUCCUGGCUGCACUGGCCUGCUUCUGCUGCUGCAAGAAGACUGUGACUGGGGAGUGAGUAACACGAGCAACGCACUCAGUAGAAUUUACAUUUUUUUUUUUACUUCAUGCACAAUAUGCAAGACUGAUUCACAGCAUAAAGAUUGGAUGUAUUUCGAAUAAUUUGACAAGAAUAUUAUACAGGUUAUGUUUAAUCGCAGCUGAUGACGACCAACAAAAAACAAAUACUUUGAGCAUCAAACGCUCCUUGUAGUUUUAUCAGGUUGCUCUAAAAUGUUGGCAUCUGUGAAAGAUACAGACAAUACAUUGAAAUCGGAUUGUGUCUUUGUUUCCUGACAAAUUCAAAUACGUCCAUAGUAAAUUGUCAAAUCCAUUCCAUUCAGCAUAAUCCAUGUCUCCAUGUUUGCAGCUGUAUGUUGCAUCAAGUUGCAUAAAUGCCAAAAUGUGGCUGAACGCAAAUCUUCCUUUGCAUUUUGUAACAUGAUUUAUGUCUUUUUCUUUUUGCACACCCUCCUGCCAUGUUUUUUUUUUGCCUCGCUCGUGC
This 1053-nucleotide long non-coding RNA is filed under the name Scophthalmus maximus (turbot). RNAcentral's name for it is "lncRNA (ENSSMAG00000015353.2)". The record is from RNAcentral. Lineage: Eukaryota; Metazoa; Chordata; Actinopteri; Pleuronectiformes; Scophthalmidae.